This 774-nucleotide ribosomal RNA is filed under the name uncultured Neocallimastigales. Its description in RNAcentral is "partial large subunit ribosomal RNA". It matches the Rfam family "Eukaryotic large subunit ribosomal RNA", at positions 20 to 643 of the family's 3401-position model. Lineage: Eukaryota; Fungi; Neocallimastigomycota; Neocallimastigomycetes; Neocallimastigales. The record is from RNAcentral.
UACUAGAGUAGCACUCGCAUAUCAAUAAGCGGAGGAAAAGAAACUAACUAGGAUUCCCUCAGUAACGGCGAGUGAAGCGGGAAGAGCUCAAAUUUGAAAUCUUCAAGGUUCUACCUUGACGAAUUGUAGUUUAUAGAAGUGUUUUCUGUUAGUGGAGUGGCAAAAGUUCUUUGGAAUAGGACAUCAUAGAGGGUGAGAAUCCCGUAUUUGGUCAUUCCUCCUAGCGUUGUGAUACACUUUCAACGAGUCGGAUUGUUUGGGAAUGCAGUCCAAAAUGGGUGGUAAAUUUCAUCUAAAGCUAAAUAUUGGCGAGAGACCGAUAGCGAACAAGUACCGUGAGGGAAAGAUGAAAAGAACUUUGAAAAGAGAGUUAAACAGUACGUGAAAUUGUCAAAAGGGAAGCGUUUGACACCAGUGUUGUUUUUCCGAAAAUCAAUUACGAAUGUUUUGUUUUUGAGGAGUUAUGACUUCAUCGGCUUGCUCCUUUCUUUACGAAACUUUCUUAAUGCACUUUUCGGUUAACAAGUCAACAUCAAUUUCUUUUGUUGUAAAAGGGUAUGAGGAAGGUGGCUUUCUUUUCGGAGAAAGUGUUUAUAGCCUUGUGCCUCUGCAAUCGGAGAGAUUGAGGUCUGCAGCGUAGAUCCUUCGGGGUUAGAUACAUUUGUGCUAAGUUAUAGCUUUUCAUAGACAACUUGUUGACUAUGUUUAGUCUUGUAGCUUACUCGCUUAUGCUAUUUUACCUACGCUUAGGAUGUUGAAGAUGUAGCACAUCAU